Pichia kudriavzevii is the source of this 74-nucleotide non-coding RNA. Lineage: Eukaryota; Fungi; Ascomycota; Pichiomycetes; Pichiales; Pichiaceae. The record is from Rfam.
AUGAUUAUGACGAAAUUGGUAAACGUGUUUAGUUAAGGACUAAAAUUUUAUUGGUUCAAGUCCAAUUAAUCAUA